Molecule: ribosomal RNA, 404 nt
Filed under: uncultured prokaryote
Also listed under: 1 other name
Description: bacterial SSU rRNA
Rfam family: Bacterial small subunit ribosomal RNA
Source: RNAcentral
CUAGGAAUAUUGGACAAUGGGCGAAAGCCUGAUCCAGCCAUGCCGCGUGAAUGAAGAAGGCCUUCGGGUUGUAAAACUCUUUUAAUAGGGAAGAUGAUGACGGUACCUAUAGAAUAAGCACCGGCUAACUUCGUGCCAGCAGCCGCGGUAAUACGAAGGGUGCAAGCGUUGUUCGGUUUUACUGGGCGUAAAGCGAGUGUAGGCGGAUUGUUAAGUCAGUGGUGAAAUCCCGAGGCUCAACCUCGGAACUGCCAUUGAAACUAACAAUCUAGAGGAUAAUAGAGGAUAACGGAACUCCGAGUGUAGAGGUGGAAUUCGUAGAUAUUCGGAAGAACAUCAGUGGCGAAAGCGGUUAUCUGGAUUAUUUCUGACGCUGAGAUGCGAAAGCGUGGGGAGCAAACAGG